ACGUCGGGCAACCUGCCCCCCGCACCGGGAUAGCCUCGGGAAACCGUGGGUAACUACCGGACUACGUCCGGCCCCCUCCGCGAGUGGUGGGGGCGGGAAAGGCGUACACGGCGGGGGAUGGGCCCGCGGCCUGUUAGCUCGUUGGCGGGGUAACGGCCCACCAAGGCGAUUAUGGGUAGCCGGGUUGAGAGACCGACCGGCCAGAUUGGGACUGAGACACGGCCCAGACUCCUACGGGAGGCAGCAGUGGGGAAUCGUUGCACAAUGGGCGAAAGCCUGAUGGCAGCGACGCCGCGUGCGGGAAGAAGGCCCUCGGGUUGUAAACCGCUUUCAGCAGGGACGAGGCGCGAGUGACGGUACCUGCAGAAGAAGCCCCGGCUAACUACGUGCCAGCCGCGGC
RNAcentral lists this ribosomal RNA (400 nucleotides) under uncultured bacterium. RNAcentral's name for it is "bacterial SSU rRNA". It matches the Rfam family "Bacterial small subunit ribosomal RNA", at positions 115 to 518 of the family's 1533-position model. The record is from RNAcentral.